Schistocerca nitens (vagrant locust) is the source of this 167-nucleotide long non-coding RNA. RefSeq lists it as uncharacterized. The transcript is spliced from 3 exons. The record is from RefSeq and is a predicted model, not a curated record. NCBI's taxonomy places the organism in Eukaryota, Metazoa, Arthropoda, Insecta, Orthoptera, Acrididae.
CGUCGGACGUGGCCGUGGGCGCCACGCGGAGCGGACCUCCUGCCGGCCGAAUAGUCUCGUACUAUGCCGACUUCAUCGCUGCUCUUCCGUUUGGAAAAGGUGGUGAUGUCUGAGCUACUUUCCUUGCAUCUGAGAGAACGUAAAACAACUGAUGCCUUGCUGAAAAG